GAUGAACGCUGGCGGCGUGCCUAAUACAUGCAAGUCGAGCGAACGGACGAGAAGCUUGCUUUUCUGAUGUUAGCGGCGGACGGGUGAGUAACACGUGGAUAACCUACCUAUAAGACUGGGAUAACUUCGGGAAACCGGAGCUAAUACCGGAUAAUAUUUUGAACCGCAUGGUUCAAAAGUGAAAGACGGUCUUGCUGUCACUUAUAGAUGGAUCCGCGCUGCAUUAGCUAGUUGGUAAGGUAACGGCUUACCAAGGCAACGAUGCAUAGCCGACCCGAGAGGGUAAUCGGCCACACUGGAACUGAGACACGGUCCAGACUCCUACGGGAGGCAGCAGUAGGGAAUCUUCCGCAAUGGGCGAAAGCCUGACGGAGCAACGCCGCGUGAGUGAUGAAGGUCUUCGGAUCGUAAAACUCUGUUAUUAGGGAAGAACAUAUGUGUAAGUAACUGUGCACAUCUUGACGGUACCUAAUCAGAAAGCCACGGCUAACUACGUG
This 497-nucleotide ribosomal RNA is filed under the name uncultured bacterium. RNAcentral's name for it is "partial 16S ribosomal RNA". It matches the Rfam family "Bacterial small subunit ribosomal RNA", at positions 28 to 507 of the family's 1533-position model. The record is from RNAcentral.